AUUGAACGCUGGCGGCAGGCCUAACACAUGCAAGUCGAGCGGAUGAAGGGAGCUUGCUCCUGGAUUCAGCGGCGGACGGGUGAGUAAUGCCUAGGAAUCUGCCCGGUAGUGGGGGAUAACGUCCGGAAACGGGCGCUAAUACCGCAUACGUCCUGAGGGAGAAAGUGGGGGAUCUUCGGACCUCACGCUAUCAGAUGAGCCUAGGUCGGAUUAGCUAGUUGGUGGGGUAAAGGCCUACCAAGGCGACGAUCCGUAACUGGUCUGAGAGGAUGAUCAGUCAAACUGAAACGGGAACCCGGUCCGGACCCCUACGGAAGGCGGCGGGGGGAAUAUUGGACAAUGGGCGAAAGCCUGAUCCAGCCAUGCCGCGUGUGUGAAGAAGGUCUUCGGAUUGUAAAGCACUUUAAGUUGGGAGGAAGGGCAGUAAGUUAAUACCUUGCUGUUUUGACGUUACCAACAGAAUAAGCACCGGCUAACUUCGUG
RNAcentral lists this ribosomal RNA (483 nucleotides) under uncultured bacterium. RNAcentral describes it as "partial 16S ribosomal RNA". It matches the Rfam family "Bacterial small subunit ribosomal RNA", at positions 30 to 507 of the family's 1533-position model. The record is from RNAcentral.